This 585-nucleotide ribosomal RNA is filed under the name uncultured bacterium. RNAcentral describes it as "bacterial SSU rRNA". It matches the Rfam family "Bacterial small subunit ribosomal RNA", at positions 338 to 916 of the family's 1533-position model. The record is from RNAcentral.
CCUACGGGAGGCAGCAGUGGGGAAUUUUGGACAAUGGGGGCAACCCUGAUCCAGCAAUGCCGCGUGAGUGAAGAAGGCCUUCGGGUUGUAAAGCUCUUUUGUCAGGGAAGAAACAGCAGCUCUAACACAGCUGUGAAUGACGGUACCUGAAGAAUAAGCACCGGCUAACUACGUGCCAGCAGCCGCGGUAAUACGUAGGGUGCAAGCGUUAAUCGGAAUUACUGGGCGUAAAGCGUGCGCAGGCGGUUAUAUAAGACAGGUGUGAAAUCCCCGGGCUUAACCUGGGAAUUGCAUCUGUGACUGUAUAGCUAGAGUGUGUCAGAGGGGGGUAGAAUUCCACGUGUAGCAGUGAAAUGCGUAGAUAUGUGGAGGAAUACCAAUGGCGAAGGCAGCCCCCUGGGAUAACACUGACGCUCAUGCACGAAAGCGUGGGGAGCAAACAGGAUUAGAUACCCUGGUAAGUCCACGCCCUAAACGAUGCUGACUAGUUGUUCGGGAUUUUANCCUUGAGUAACGUAGCUAACGCGUGAAGUCAGCCGCCUGGGGAGUACGGUCGCGAAGAUUAAAACGUUAAGGAAUUGACGG